This 29-nucleotide non-coding RNA is filed under the name Rattus norvegicus (Norway rat). Lineage: Eukaryota; Metazoa; Chordata; Mammalia; Rodentia; Muridae. The record is from RNAcentral.
UUUAAAGGACUGAUGGAAGCAAGAUGGAA